Long non-coding RNA from Cebus imitator (Panamanian white-faced capuchin), 704 nucleotides. RefSeq lists it as uncharacterized. NCBI's taxonomy places the organism in Eukaryota, Metazoa, Chordata, Mammalia, Primates, Cebidae. The transcript is spliced from 3 exons. The record is from RefSeq and is a predicted model, not a curated record.
CCCCAGCCCUGGCCAGUAAGGCCCAGAGGGAAAACCUUUUCAGUUAAAAACCCCACACCGCGUUGCUCCUGGGCCGCAGGCGCUGCGUUGAGUGUGUGCGGCUGGGUGCGGGCUCGGCUGAGGAGCUCCGCUUUGCGGACCAAGUGGGUGGCGGCGGGGCGGGGACGGCAGCGCGCUGAAGCAGCCCUGCGCCCUGGCCAGUGCAUCCAGGAUCCUGAGCUGCCAGGGACCUGGCCACUCCCACCCGGAACCCUGCCUUGGCUGAACUGGUCACUGCUGCAUGUCCCGGUCUGCCGCCCUGCCUGUCAUCUGCAGUGCACAGGUAUGCAUGUGUGUGGUGCAUAUACAUAUGCACCACACACAUACCAUGCCCACCUCAUACUGCACAUGUACCAUGCCCACCUCACACACCCCACACACGUACUCCAUGUAUACCACACACAACACACAUAUACCCACCUGAUACACCCCACACUACAUAAUACCUUGUCCGCCUCACACACCCCACUUAACCCAUAUAUACCACACAUACAUCACACAUAUACCAUGCCCACCUCACACUAUACAUAUAUCAUACCCACCUAACACACAUACCCCAUACACACAACACACAUACCCACCUCACAUACCACAUAUAUACCAUGCCCACCUCACAGACCACACACUUAACUUAUAUACACCACAACCACCACACCUACUACCUU